RNAcentral lists this long non-coding RNA (1169 nucleotides) under Olea europaea (common olive). Its description in RNAcentral is "long non-coding RNA (OEUR_LNC010385)". The record is from RNAcentral. Lineage: Eukaryota; Viridiplantae; Streptophyta; Magnoliopsida; Lamiales; Oleaceae.
UUCCUCCUCCCACACCGCGCCGACGCCACCUCUACCUCAAACCCAAAAUCCACCAAAUCACCGCCACCUCCACAACCACCACCAUCAUCCCCCCCUUCACAAUGCCACCCAAAAUUCUUCAAAUUUUGCAGCAGUGCCCUAAUACCUCGGAUUCUUCUUCCACAGACCACAGCCUUCUACUACAAAAACUGAGGGCACAUUUUCAAGAGGUGAGCACAUAAUUCCUUGAGCUUGGUUACAUAUGAGCUUCAGUUCCAUCAUCUCUUCGUUGUCAAUCUUAGGGCAUUUACUUUUCAAACCUAAGAUGCCUCUCACUACAAACGAUGGACUUAUUUUCAAGUUUUUCCUUCUUUCCAAACCCGGAUUUAUCAAUUCAGACCGGUUACUCCUUGAAUAUGCUCUAAUAGCAUAAAUGCUGGAAAGCUAGCUGGCAUCAAAUUACCUUUUACGUGUCCAUUUGUUGCAACUUCCCAAAAUUUGUUUUUGCCACUGUCAUCCCCGGGAGUUUUAUCUUCGAUUAAAGUAGCUUUAUCUCCUUGUAAAGAGAGCAAUAAGAUGAAAAAACAAAAGUUUAGUAUUCAAAUUUCAAUUCAAAAAACAAUAAGCAGAAUGUAAAAAGUGUGUGUGUGUGUGUGUGUGUGUGUGUGUGUGAAGUUAAUUUGGGUGGCGAUUGUGAUGGGGUGGAUGAUGGUGGCCGGUAGCAAGUUGUUUUAGUUGUGGAGGUGGUCGGGUGUUUUGGGUUUGAGGUGCGGGGUGGGUGUGGGUGCGGGUGUGGGUGUGGGUGUGAGUGAGGGUGAGGGUGAGGGUGAGAAGAUGAAUGUAUCUCUCUGUGUGUUUUUUUAAUUAGUUUUUUUUUCCUUAUUUUUUAAAUUUAAUUAUUUAAUGUGAUAUAUGAAAAGUUACUCUUUUGCCCAUUUUUAAAAUAUUAAAAAUGCAAUCAAAGUGAAAUUUUUCGUCAACUGACGAAAUUGUGACCUUAUUUGAGCCAUAUUAUUUGGAAAAAGAUAUAUUCUUCAACAAUAAUUUGACAUCAUUUCAACCACACAUUCUUUAAUAAAAUAAUAUUACAAGCAAAUUCAAAUUUUUUUUUAUUUUUUAACCACACAUUUCACAUCAAUAUACUAUUCAAAAAUGCAUUUUCAUUCCAAUAAUGUAGAUCAAACAAGUGC